GAUGAACGCUGGCGGCGUGCCUAAUACAUGCAAGUCGAGCGAACAGACGAGGAGCUUGCUCCUCUGACGUUAGCGGCGGACGGGUGAGUAACACGUGUAUAACCUACCUAUAAGACUGGGAUAACUUCGGGAAACCGGCGCUAAUACCGGAUAAUAUAUUGAACCGCAUGGUUCAAUAGUGAAAGACGGUUUUGCUGUCACUUAUAGAUGGAUCCGGGCCGCAUUAGCUAGUUGUGCAGUUAACGGGUUACCAAGGCAACGAUGCGUAGCCGACCUGAGAGGGGGGUCGGCGACCUGGGAGGUGAGACAGGGACAAGGGUACUACGGGAGGGAGCAGAAGGGAACGUUAGGCAAAGGGCGAAAGUCUUACGGAGCGACGGCGAGUGAGUGACGAAGGUGUUGGGUGCGGAAAAACGUGUUAUUAGGGAAGAACCAAUGUGGAAGUAACUAUGGCCGGCUUGACGGUAACGAAUCAGAAAGCCACGGCUAACUACGUG
Molecule: ribosomal RNA, 497 nt
Filed under: uncultured bacterium
Lineage: Bacteria
Description: partial 16S ribosomal RNA
Rfam family: Bacterial small subunit ribosomal RNA
Source: RNAcentral